Molecule: long non-coding RNA, 158 nt
Organism: Silurus meridionalis
Lineage: Eukaryota; Metazoa; Chordata; Actinopteri; Siluriformes; Siluridae
Exons: 3
Source: RefSeq, a predicted model, not a curated record
CUCCUGUGUAUGGCUCAUUGUAGGUCAUUCCAUAGGUUUUGGAUUGGGUUGAGCUUCUUCACAGAGGACAGAAGCUUCUGCCCAGCUGAAGAAAAGCAGCUCCAAAGCAUAGUGCUGCCCCCCACCAUACCACCAUGUUGAUUUUCUUGAAGCCCCCA